GCAACAGGCAUAAAUCACUCAGCUCUUCCCUCCCUGAGCUCCCUUGCAGCCAGCACAUGCACAACACCUCCCUUCUGGAUGAGGCUUUGGCAUGAGAGGCAGAUCCCAUGAAUGCUCCAUCGCGUUACCACAGCAGAGCAGCGCUUGGCAAGCUGAUGCAGGAUACUCCCUCAAGAAAACUUUGAAGGAACAGUGCUGCACGGCUGAACUAGGCAAUUACAAAUAUACCAGACACAGGGCUGAGACCCACCUCACUUCUGUUCUGCUGGAGUUCAUAGAAUCACCAAGGUUGGGAAAGGCCCACAGGAUCACCCAGUCCAACCAUCACCAACAGUUCUCAAGAGUUGCAGCACAGUGAAUCACUCCAACCUUCCCUCAAGGAGGGACAGCACAAUAGGAUCAGCCUCUUCUGCACUGCUCUGAAAUCACAAUUCAGAAAAUGGACAAAGUGGAUAAUAAAUUACUCUUCUUAUGCCAGGUAUUUUCCAUUUUGUGUUUUAACCGUUGUUGGUUCUUGGCACUGUUAAACUGUUAAUGGUAAAUUCAAAAGGAAUUGAGGACCUGGCUUCCUGGAUCGUAGUUUUUGGCUUUCCUGCACAAUAGGAUGAAGCCUGCAAGUCCCUUUUGUUACAUGCAGGUACCCAACUCUACUUCGUUACCAAUUAUCCUUCCUCAGCCUCUCCAUCCCUGUAUUACAUAAGGGUUCAGGUGAGACUCCUAAGAUAUCUGACUGCUUUAGCAUGUUUGGUUUUAUGUCUUUGUUACUUUAUAUCUCUCUUUGGCAGUUACAUCUACCUACAUAAUUGCUCUCAUUAAAAGGCUUAGUCAUGGUCUGAAGUAAGUGUAACCCACUGUUAUCUGUGCACUUAAGCAAAUUUCAGCACAGAAAAUUGGGGUAUCAUCUAAAUAUCAGACUACAGGAAGAUAAAACAAUCUAUACUGAAAAUCCAGAAUAAAAAGAAAUAACAGGCUUUGAAGCAGGCCUACCACCGAUUUCAGCUAUCCCCAAAACUGUACCAGGAAGGUUUUAAAUGGGUUUAAACCUCAGAUUUUUCACCUUUGGAAUUCCAGCCCUGUGACUGGUACGUGUGAGCUGAAAGGAGCACAGUCUGCACAGCGCAGUGCUGCAGGAGUGGCAGUUCUCUGAAACUGGAACCAGUCUUGGAAUUACAGUGGUGCUUCUUUUUCCAGGGAAAGGAAGGGAGUGGAAAUGGAAAAACAUCAGUGAGAAAAACCAAACAGGGCCCAAAAUUCAGAGCUGAGGAAGUCUGCAAUGGAGAAUCUAGUUGAGACAGCUGUGCUGAGGCUGACCUAACCUGGGGCUGACCAAGCAAGUUCCAUGAUGUCAUAUUUUGCUAUGAUGGGCCAUUAAAUUAAGUCGCUGGUCCAGACCUUCCUCCUGACACCUAUUAAAUCUACAGCUUUGGAGCUGGAGUUGUCAAGGUAGCACUGCAUCAGAUACCAGGGGAAUCCACGCACACUGUUACAGAAGAUUGCUGCUUGCAUAAAACCUCUUUGCUCUUUUCUUGAUUGUAUAUUCAGGAUAUAUUUUGCAGGCAUAGUCUACGAUUAGAUUAAACAAGCAAAGGAAUUAUUUAUUGCCUGUCCCACUGCACCUACUGCUUAACACCAGAUGAAACUAAAACAAUGGCUUCUGAGCUUGGGUCAAUAGUCUUCCUCUAUAGUCUACCCUCAAUUUCAAAAGCAUAGAGAAAAAAUGGUUAAUUCUACGGUGCCUGCGUUACAAAAAGGAGGAUUCAUUCAUAUUUACAGCAGCCACAAGAACUUCCAAAUAUAUAUUUUUCCAACCUGAAGGGUUUCAGUGACUUGUUCUACAUUUCCAUAGUAGACAAUAGAUCUCACAUAGCACUGUGAUCCAAUCUGCUUUUCUUUGCAGCAGGUAAUUGUAGGACGUUUUUAGGGAUACCUGUAACCUCACAACAUUGCCCUGCCUACUUCAAAAGAAGCUGUCAUCAAAAAGUAUUACCAGUCAAAAGAGUCAGUGAUGCAAUUAUCUUUUUAAACAAACCCAGAAUAGUGGAUCAAACGCACACUACUUUUGAUUAUCCUCAGUCAAGUUUUCUUUAGGGGAUUCUCUGAGCAUCUCCUUCCCCUCAUUCGAGUUAUCAAACUCUCAUUUCUAGACCUCAGAGAACACCUACACGCUCCCUUCUGCUUCCUUCUUCCCACAACCUGAAGUUAAAUGUGGAGCACUUCCUCUGCCACCACUCUUGAAGCCUCAGUGGCCCACCCAACAAUGCCACUCUGUGGCUGGACAGGUAGAGAGAUGUUCUUGCAAUACUCAUUCCUCUUGACAAAUAUCAAUUAUUGUGACCAGGUCUUUUAACAAAAUAAAUACUGACUAGCAGCUAAGAGACUGGCUACUGGCUGCUUCUCACCUCCACCAGGAGCCCUGAAGUGCAGGACAGAAUCCAGGAAAGAUUUUCUGGAAAAUGAAGAGACCCAAUAAAGCCUCUAAGCCCAGGCAAGUCAAUAAACUGUCACAGUUGCCCGGAAGGAAUUGGCUCGUCUUAGAUAAACUCACAAAGGCCCUGAAAAAACACAACUUUUUUUUUUUAAAUGGCAGAGAUUAAUUUUCUGACUUCAAAGUAGUAUUAAUGCAGAACUUGGCUAAGGUUUCCUGUGCAAGCAGUUUCCCCCCGAGCAAUGAUUUCAGAAUCCGCCUUGUUUUAAGGCUGGCAUUUGCUGCAGCUGCAGACCUGGAGUAUUUUCGAUCCCCUCUGAGUGCUGGAACACUAUCCAACAAUUAAACCACAACCCAAAAACAAUCAAACAUCUGUUUGGAGGAAGGCUGCUCAGUGACUGACAUUCUCAUGCCAGCAUAAACACGAAAGCUGCUGAGUGAUUCCUGUCUUUUGUGUAUAUAUGUAUACGUAUGCACCGCUUGUGUAUUUUUUGUUCCUGCAUGCAGAAUAUGUAAAUAUGCUUAAGAGCAUUUUUAUUGCAAUAUGUGGGUGUACUUGUAUAGCUUAUUUGUGGAAGUAUUUUCAUUGGCGUGAACACACAGAUUUGAAUGUCAGCUUGAGAUGUGGUUAUUUGUGUGCUGGAGGUGGUUUUGCAGGAGGCCAAAGCGAACGUGGAUUGGGAGUCUGCAAGCAGAUUCAAUUGAAACCAGCUACUCAUCAUGAUUUAUGAGAGUCUUUGGGACAGGAGCUGAUCACAUGUAAGCAAGUCUUCAUCUCUAAGAAGCACUCUGAGUUUCUAUUCUGACAAUCUUUGAAUUCUCUUCUUAGGAGUUGGAAAACACCACUUAGUAGAACUGGGAGGAGGUGUUACAUUCUUAAGCCACAUGUUACACAAGAUAUGUCUGCAAGCAAACCGACAACAGAAGGACUGCUCUUUAUUGUACAAUGCCAUGUUCACUCCUGACUUUUUCCAACACAGGACCCCUCUACAGGGCAUAACGCAAUGAUUAUGACAAAGGCACUUAAUCAACAUUAGCAGCUGCUCAAUUUCUAACUCUUGUUUUCCCACAAACUCCAUCUCCAGGAAAAUACAGAGUGCAACUCAAGGAAGCUCUCAGCUGUCCUCCACUUCGUGCAUUUCCAAAGCAGAUGUAAAACAACUUCUGGUCUCUCUUAUGUUCCUAUCUUGUUGAUCUGUGAUUUAUGACUGUAAGACCUUGGAACUUUGAACUGUUCAAUUCAAAUGCAUUCUUUUUUCGUUGUAGGAGUUUUAAGUAAUAUCUGAAGCUCUUAAUUUGUGGAUUAGCACAUUUACCUACACCACAAUUAGUCCAACUCUGAGAAAGCCCAAGACUAACUUUUGGUUCAUUACUCUGUCAAUCAAUAAGCAUCACAUGUGCUACCAGCCAUUCACCUAUAGGAAUGCUCCAGUUUGUUUCUACAUUCCCAGUCACCACUGAUUCAUCUGUCCAAGUCAUAUAACUGUUUUCUUUCUUGGUCAGUAAACUAGAUCAAAGCCUUGAUAUUUUUUAAGAAAAAUCUUGUAUUAAAGAGCAUGUGAGACCCUGAGAAGGUGGAGGCAAACACAUUUGCCACACCAGCGCUCAUCUCAGCUGACAACAGCAGCUUCCUGUGCUCUGUCCUGGGGGGAUAAGGGGCUGUUAAAUCCUCACAUCUGCCACCCCAGUGCACAGCUGUGAGUGGCUCAGGGAGAACCAUCCCUGCUUGCCCAGCUGCCCCCUUCUACUCACUGUCACUCAGCAAGUAACUAUUUCACAGGCCUCACAGAAAACAAUGGGAGCUUUCAGGAAUGAAAUAAAAUCUUUACUCUGAUAGGAAGGCAGCUGUGAGACACAUGAAAGCUUCUGCUUGCUGUCUCUUACUUGUCUCACAAGGUUCAGAUCGAAGGAGUCACAGCAAACCAUCUACAGUGAAACCCUUCACAAAGGUCAGUGCUGGAAAGAGUCUGAACAUGUGGUACCCUGCAGAAAGAUGUGUGGAUAGACAGAUAAACAGCUCACUGACAAGGUAGAUGGAUGCAGAAUGAGGAGGAGCAUACAUGGAAACAGAAUAUAAAAGGAAAAAAGUGAUCAAGAAAGCAAAUUGAUUUUCACUGUUUGUUUUGACAUCCCCAAAGAGGACCCCGUGAUCCUGAGGAAAUCCUGAGGAAUCAUUGCUCUCACUGCUGAUAUUCAGCCACCUUUGGGGCAGAAGGCUGCAGCCUUUAACAGCACUCACUUAUCCUAUAAACCAGUUUAUCACAAACUCACCUCAUAUUAAGGUGCUUUAUAACCCUGGGGGAAAAGUAUCACCUGUUAAAGAGCAAUUACCUCUGCAUUUCCCUUUAGGGCUAUUUUCUCAUCUAAGAACUGAUGAGGUCCAACGCUACUUCAGCUUGCUAAUUAUUCUAACUUCAGGACGUUAGUGCUGCUGAUUAGGAAGUGCGCUGCACCCAGAACAUAGAUGAAUUUAUUUCCUACGGGUAUGCAAUGCUGCACACUUGCAGUGUACUCAUACAGCACUGAGAAGUUAGGAAAAUUAACCCAUGUGGUAAUGUGCCCAGAUGCCUUCCAAUAGCUAGGAGGUCAUAUUUAAACGUUUAUUCCACCCGAUGACAAAUCUGAAUUCACAUCCUUAUACUGUCCUUCUGUCUCCUACCACCUCACUUCCCAGCUCCUGUACUCUCCCUGAGGCACUUCUCUAUCUUUUCCCCUCCUUCCUCUCUUGCUCACACUGGACUAUAAAUAAGUCUGCUUAACACAAACAUGCUUGCUCUGAGUAGUUACUUAUAUGAAAAAUAAUACAUGUUUGUAAGCUUCUUUGUCUUUCCCUUCUUCUACAUUUCAGUUUUGAUUUUCUCUUAUGUUUUGAACAGAUUCCUAUUUUCUACGCUUGAAUAACACUCCUGAAAAUGCUUCUUGUUGGUGUAAAUUUGACCUGUGCUGGUACAGCACGAAUCCUUGCAUUUCCCCUGGUGUUACAUUGCAGGUAGGGAAUAAGGUUUUACUGCUGAUAAUACAGAGGAGUUCUUUAUCUUACAAGGUAAGGAUUCAGGCUUUCAGCUCGGAAGCUCAAGAGCUCAAUGCCAUUGAUGACCCAGGGGAGGAGCUGUGAUACAGGAUCCCAUCACUGAUUUCCACGCUGCCAUCUCAUCAUCAAGUAGUCGAAACCCUUAACCCAUGUGAGCACUUCACCAUGCUAGAGAACUCAGCUCCUCACAGAACAGAAAACAAUGACCACUUGUUAAGCAUUUGUUUGAAAGAGGAAGAAAAAGAGUAUUACAAUGAGUGAUUUCAAUCUCUGUGCUGUCAGCUGAAGGUUCCAUGCUGCCAGAAACAAACAAAUGUAUUCCCUGUUUACAAAUGAUACCAAACAUUUUUAACCUCAAAGACUUUUGUAUCUUAUGUUGGGGAUUUUUUGGCGAGUGAAAAGAAAUAACUUUAGUAUUUAAAAAGUAGCGGUAUUUGAGUAUUUCAUUUGAUUAUGUUUGUUUGAUAAUACACAACUGCUCUAAAACUGACAACUUCGCUAUGAUAAAAACAAAACAGCUUGGAGGAAAUAAAACACCAAUAAUAUUUGCAAACUACAUAAAAGCACUUAGUGGGAAAAAUGCUAUUUCACUAACAGUAAGGAAUGACAGGUUAGUUAAAAAUAGAUAAAAGCUCAUAAAACAAAAGGGAACAAAAGUCAUAUAUAUCUAUUAAUUACUAGGUAGCUAGCCUGACUGUGCUGCUGCUAGCAAAAGUGCAGCUGCAUCAUUACUGGAAAAAUGGGACAGGCUAUGUACACAAAUAGGGCUGGAGUUCAAGCAUGCCUGCCCAAAUCCUCUCUGCUACUCCAUUUAGUGCAUUCUUUCUUAUCAUUCAAAGGGCUGCAUUGAAAUGUGCUGAGCUUCACUGUGCUCUGGAUCAGGGUUAAUGCACGUCUGAAUCCUCUGAGCUGGAGAGCUACUACUUAAAGCCAGUUUUGAGCAUUAGCAGAUUAUUUAAAAAUACCUUUGGAUGAAGAUGUAACGGCUCAGAUGGUGUGCAAUAAAAAACAAUGUACAUCUAGAAAGCUGCUGAGAGCUCAAUGGUUGAACUCAUAGAACGUUUCCUUCACUUGGACUCCAUCAGCAAGCAAGCUCCUACCAGUUCAUCUCUUGCCUUCAUUUACAAAUGCAGAGGAUUUAGCUCUCAGUCUCACUUUGGAGUCUCCAUUAGGACAUCUCCCCAAGUUAUGCUUAAAUCUGGUUCUCAUUUGUUCUUCUCCUGAAAUUAUUCAGGCUACUGUCACUACAUGAUUUGUCUUCAUGACUUCCAAAGGAUGAGUGCUGAGAUGGGAUUUGGACAGAAGGAUAAUACUGAGAGGUGAAACCAGGAAGACCUACACAUUUCUCAAAGGGCCACAAUCAGAAUUCCUUAUUUCCAGAAACUGGCUUUACAUUAUUUCUUAACAGGAGAUAAAGCAAAUUCUCUUAGAAGACCAAAACUUUUCUUUUCCCCCCUGCAAAACUGCAAUCUUCCCAAAAUGCAACAACUCUGAAAUUCUUCAGCCUAAUUCACAGAGAAAACUCAGUCUUCCCAAGACCACAACUUUUUGCCUUGCUUGCACUUUGCUCCUCUGGGCUUGAUUGCUAUGCUAAUUAAACAAGACAUUGGUUAGGUUUUAACAUAGAUAUUCUUUUUUUUAUUUUGGUUUCAGCUUCUUGAAAGGUGUCCAAGAAUACCAGGCAAGGAAAUGAAAUCUGCAUCCCAAGGAAACAAUCCCUUUCCAAAAUUGUUAAUCUUUCCUUAUGACAUGUUUUGGAAUACAAAUGUAUCCAGAGGGGGUUUAUUCAGCAAUAUGCUGUGCUCAUCCCCACCCAGUGACACUUGGAACACAAGCAGAAACACGUAUGUAUUACAAGGAGCGAUGUUCUACAUUGUUAUUAGAGAACCGGGCUUCCUUCAGCAUGCAACAUUAUCAUAACAAACCCAUGACUACACACUUUAACUGUCACUACAUUGCCUUCCAUAUAUGCUGGGAUCAGCAGAAUUAGAAGCCAGGUCUGGUUGCUACAUAUCACUUCUGAUAAAUUUCUGCAUUACAGCAACUGAAGGCGACUAGAGAGCUUUGGCUGUGCCAGAUUCAAUCCAUUCAUAGGUCUGUUCCCCCAGCACGUUUCGUGAAGCUAUUUAGGGGUCAUAUGGAAAUGAAUGCAUGAAGAAGUGAAGAAAAAAGACAUAAUAUUAAACUCUGUAAGUGACUUUUAAGUGAAGACUUUUGCAAAAAGAAAAGACGUAGCAGGUAAGAAAUACAGAGGGGUAUUCUAUGCAUCAUACGGUAUGCAAUGAGAAAUGCUGAAUUUACCAAAAGCUACCAGCAGUUUUGGUUAUUCAGGUGAAGACAACUUAUGCCAAAAAUCUCAGGCAUCUUAAUGUCUCUUGAGACAAAGAUAAAAAAGCAUUCAUAAUCAGAAGUCAGCUCUUAAAACAUACAAUUGGUUCUUAUUUUGAGAAAAGUAGUAACAAGACUUUUUUUAUUUCUUUUUAAUCAAAACAUUGCUCAGAAGCCACAAGUCUCAGAUCAAGAACCAAAUGCGGAAUGCUAAGCGCUCACUAAGAGCUGGCUUGGGCAGCAUGAGUACUACACUAAUUUCUCUUUCAUUCCCUCAGCCCAAAAGCAAAACACAUUUUGCAGCAGCAUCUCAGCUGUUUGCUGAUGACUGAAUCCCAGGCAGGUCAAGAGAAACUUCUUGAACUUCCAAUUUCCAAGAAAGCCAACGAUCCAAGUGAAGUAAGAAGAAAGAAGACAUGCCGUGAAAGACAAAAAGCCUUCUUCAAACACAGCCCUUAAAUAACAGGAUGUGCAUGAAAUCCAAACUUCCUAAUGAAAUAAUUCCAAACCCUUUUGCAAGAAAGAACAGUAUUUUGAUGAAUGGUAUUUGUGACCUUAACGAUAAGCAUUAAUCUGUGCCACUUCAAAACCUCAGAAAAAAGUAGCUGGUAAGUGAGCACCUUGCUAACGAAAACCAGAGGAUGCAUCAUCCUAAUAAUCCAUGAGGAUAACCUGAGGGUAUUUUUUAACAUGACAGAGGCUGUCUCCUUGAGAAGAAAAGGUUAAAGACAACAGAGAGGCGACAGUGACAUCCCAACUACACACCUUAGUGAUAGCACAGCAUGCGCUUCCAUCAAACUACACGUGGGUUUCUAAAAUACUCUUUCACAAAUCAAGUAAUUUAAGUCCAAAUGAAGUUAAAAACAAACUAAAAAUUUGCAAAUGCUCUUCGUUCACAAAAACAUACCCUGGAGGUUUCACAAAACAGAAUAUUCCCCAAACGGCGCAAUUAUUCUAAUGAAUAUGCCUAUAGAAUAAAUGGCUGCUCAGUAGGAGCAACUAGUGAAGCAUAUUAUGGUGAAAAAGGUAUUUUGCAGGUAUGGCUGUAACUUCAUGAUACCAGCUAGAAAAGAUUCUGCAGGUCUACAGAAGGGCUGUAACGGUGCACUGCCAAGUUGCUGUCCAGGCAAAUUACACACGCACCGUGUGCUGGUUGCUGGAGAUGGUCUGCUCCGCAGGAGACAGGAUGCAUUGGCAGGCAGAAGCUGAGCAAAUUCCCGUUUGCACAAACCCACAUACAAUGGGAGAGAGAUUAACUGACAGCAACAGGGCUUUUCACAAGCAGACUUCCACCUAUAAAUUAGUACUACUGCAAAAUGAUAAGUGACAGAUGACAGGUUUUUAAUGAAAUCCAAUGGAAGAAUCUACCUGUCUUGCCCAGAUUCCUACACAUGAAAUACCCUCCUUAGCUGAAUCUGUACCUUGGUACAAUCUCUGACUGGUGCUUUGCAGGAAGUCAGGAUACUUGGGAUCAUCUGAUCUAUAGCUACAUGAGUUUCACUGCCACAUGUACUACAGCAAAAGGCAAAGCAGCGAUCAACAUACAGUGGGCAGACAACGUGGGUAGCGUCAGCUAUGGGUGCUGUGACAGAGUACAGCAAAGUAGGAACCACCCCUUCCAGUGAAGGAAUUCUGAAUAUCAGCCUGAAGUUACAAACAGAUUUUGCUGACUAAGAUAUGAAACAAGCCCAUUUUAAGUAGUUCCAGACCGAUCUGCAUAAAGCAUGCAGUCUGUCUAAUAACAUCUGAUGGGCUGCAAAAGCAGCCAAUGGCUGCAAAGGCCCAGAGUUCCACUGCUGGAUGGAAUCUUUGCAAAUGAGGAGAGCAGUGCUUAUGGUAGAGAAUUCACUAGGAGUCCAAGGGCAGCUCGUAUUGCUAGCAGCAAGGAAUAGUAAAACGGGAGUUCUGUUUGUUUGCUAGAAAGAUCUUGUAGCAAAAAAUACAUUGAAAAUUGAGAAAUAGCUUGCAGUGAUGAACUGGUAAAUGCAACCUUUUUACAGGGGAAUGCCAAAGCAGAUUUUAAACAUUUGGCAGUUUCUCAGAAGCUAGGGGAAGAUUAACUAUGUGAGGGAAAAAUCAGGCCAAGAAACUGAGAACAGCUUUUCAAAAUUAAGGAAAGCCAAGGAGGAACCAAGUCUAAAAAGCAUUUGGAAAGAAAUGUUAAGAUCAUUUCACUUAUAAGAGAUUGAUCUCAGAAUCAGAAGGGUUCUGAACUUGUGGAAGUGGGAAGGAGUCAAAGUUCAGAGGGGGAGCAGCAGAGCCCCAACCUCACAAAGACUACCAAGCAAGGACACACAGCAACCACAGCAAGCAGCAGUGCUCCCAGGGGUGCCAUGGCUAAUGUUGUCUGCAGAGAUGGCUCAUAGGAAUGUCACCAAAACGAACACCCGGCUGACAUCCCCAGCCUCCUCAAGUUUGGUAAAUCUGUGCUCCAGUUUCCAGUGCUUGAAACAGCCUCUGAACACCAGCUCUGCAGGCCUGGACGCAGCACACUGCAUCUCUGCUGCUGCAUUCGUGUUUAUGAAAGCUACAGAAUAUUCCUUUUUAUGCACUCAAAUAACUUUUAAUAUCAAUAGCACCCUGCUGCUAAGAAAUACAACUUAACGGCUGGGUAUUAUUUGUUUUGGAGUAGAAUAUUAUGUUGGGCAGUUUCCCACUGGAAUAUACCUCAGUGUUUUCAAUGUGGCUGUGCAUACCUUGCUUUUUGUAGGCUGUUACAACUGUAAAUGUAUUUUAAAAGCACAUGUACACAUAUGUGAAGGAGGAAAUGAGACCAAUAGCUUUUCAAGGUACUAGCAAUAGGAUUAGUUAGAACCAUGCGCUGACUUCAAAAAAUCUCACAUAAGAAAAUCCCACAUAAAACCAGUCUGUAUCUCAAAACUUCACUGCUACCCCAAGGGGGACGAAAAGGCACUGCAGGACGAAGUGAGAGGCAGCAGCUGUCCUCAAAGGCAAAGGACCUCAGGGGACCCAAACUAUAACGCAAACAUCACCUCUUGCAACAGAGCAGAAGGGAAAAAACUCUCCUUACACUUCAUUUGUAUCACUGUGUAUGCAUUUUUGAUUGAUUCUUAUCAAGACUAUUAUAUUCUACUUCUAGAAUAUGGCAAGUAACAGUGCAGGUAUCUGACUCAAACUACAGAACCUGACAAACAGCACAGCUGCGCCGAAAAUUACUAAGGUGAAAAGGUGGGUGAGAAAAGAGAAAAACUUAAAUAUGGUUUUAGGGGAGAAAAGCUGUUGCUGAAGUCUUUCCUACUUGAGAUGACUCCAAUAAAGCUAUUCCUUCCUUAUCAGUGAAACACAGUCAUCUACCUUGCAGAUCCUUCUCUCAUUCUUACACGCCAAGCACAAAGAUGGAAAAAUUGCAACAAAAUUCUAACUAAGGCAGCAAAAACUCUGCAUGGAAAGAACACAGAACAGAGGAUAAAUAAAGGUUGCUGGUAAAACCUGGAACUUGCUGUGUUCAGCUAAUCCUUCUAAGGAGUUUUUUCUGUGGAGUUAGAGCAGUGAUUGCACCAAUUACAGGCACACUUCUUCAUGAAAUAAAAAAGAGGGAGAAGGGAAGCGAAGCCAAAGCCUCUGAUUUUCUUCUGGCUGAUCUCAAACUGUAGGAAUUCCCCAAUCAAAAGAAUGCUCUGCUCUACCUAAGGAAAUUAUGUUGAUUAGAAUAAAAGCUCCAGAUGUUAACCCAAAACAGUUUGAAGGGGAGGGGAGAAGGCACGCGAGGUGACCCCACCCAGGGCAGGAAGCACAGUGAGAGCCUCAUACCCAACGCCUUGGGACACAGCCAGGGCUCAGCAGCUCUCACGGCUGUCCUCCUUCUCCCCCAGGCAGAUAUAGGAGCUUUUCCAGUUUAACCCCAACACUUCUUUGCAUCCUUUGACAUGCAUUCUUCAGAAAACAUAUAUAAAUCAGAAUAAAAGUUACAUUGAGAACAGUUUUGUUUGGUUUUGAUUUUUAAAUCCAGAAGCAGCAGAACAACUUAUUUCUCCUUGCUAUUUCCAUGCACUUCGUUCC
RNAcentral lists this long non-coding RNA (11804 nucleotides) under Gallus gallus (chicken). The record is from RNAcentral. Lineage: Eukaryota; Metazoa; Chordata; Aves; Galliformes; Phasianidae.